RNAcentral lists this long non-coding RNA (441 nucleotides) under Phoenix dactylifera (date palm). Its description in RNAcentral is "long non-coding RNA (PDAC_LNC018107)". Lineage: Eukaryota; Viridiplantae; Streptophyta; Magnoliopsida; Arecales; Arecaceae. The record is from RNAcentral.
GGCAUCAUAUAAUUUCAUACUGCUAAAUAGAGCUCUUGUAAUAUGACAUGCCGUGGGAACUCUUCCAAAACUUUAUUUGAUUGUGGAGAUGCUUUGCGAGAAACUGCUAGAUACUAGGAUUCAAAUAUCUGCUAGAAGGAUUUGGCAAAAAAAAGAAAGAAAAGAGCUGCUAGAUCAGUUUGUUUCCAAGGAUAUGUUCUGAUUUCGGAUCGAUGGUCAUUGUAUCAAAUUAUACAGGCGAAUAAAGGUUUUCAAAUCUUUGGUUUGUUAUGAUUGGGCAUUUUUUGUCCAUAUGGUUGUACUGCUAUGCUAUUCAUGGCUAACAUAGAGUUCAUCAGCUUUCGGUGAAUUGAGACAGAUCUGAUUUUCAAAUAAUUCUGAUUGUAGAUCAUGGAGAUCCAAUCAAUGCCAUAUCCUAUACAAACACAAAGAAAGCUAAAU